GCAAGGCAGGCGGGGUCCCCCAGCACUGCGGGGCCGCUUCUCCGGCUCUGCGGGUCCUCGCAGCACCCCUCACGCCUACUGGGGCCGGGCAGCAAACAGACUUUGAUCCUCCGAGCUGAGUCCACGUGCCAAGACCCCACCUGGCGGGUGGCCUGAGACCCUCCCUCUGGGCUUCCACCGGCCUGCAUCCAGUAGAAGAGACCAGAGACCGCGCCCGCUGUGUGACAGACUGCAUCCAGGGAGGCGCCGAGAGGGGGAGCCCGUGGGUGCGGGACUCCCGGGUUGGGGUGGGGUGGGGUGGGGGUCCUGUCAAAGAACCGGGAUGAGGCCGCAUCCGUAAAUGAGUGCUGCAUGAACUUGGGACUGCUCAACACCGAGCUGAGGAGUUAGACCUUAGGAGCAGUCUCGCAAGCGGCGAGAACUGAGUCUUUGUAAAUAUAUCAGUAAAUAUUUACACCUAUCA
Molecule: long non-coding RNA, 463 nt
Organism: Leopardus geoffroyi (Geoffroy's cat)
Lineage: Eukaryota; Metazoa; Chordata; Mammalia; Carnivora; Felidae
Exons: 2
Source: RefSeq, a predicted model, not a curated record